This 1554-nucleotide ribosomal RNA is filed under the name Staphylococcus aureus. Its description in RNAcentral is "16S ribosomal RNA". It matches the Rfam family "Bacterial small subunit ribosomal RNA". The record is from RNAcentral. Lineage: Bacteria; Bacillati; Bacillota; Bacilli; Caryophanales; Staphylococcaceae.
UUUAUGGAGAGUUUGAUCCUGGCUCAGGAUGAACGCUGGCGGCGUGCCUAAUACAUGCAAGUCGAGCGAACGGACGAGAAGCUUGCUUCUCUGAUGUUAGCGGCGGACGGGUGAGUAACACGUGGAUAACCUACCUAUAAGACUGGGAUAACUUCGGGAAACCGGAGCUAAUACCGGAUAAUAUUUUGAACCGCAUGGUUCAAAAGUGAAAGACGGUCUUGCUGUCACUUAUAGAUGGAUCCGCGCUGCAUUAGCUAGUUGGUAAGGUAACGGCUUACCAAGGCAACGAUGCAUAGCCGACCUGAGAGGGUGAUCGGCCACACUGGAACUGAGACACGGUCCAGACUCCUACGGGAGGCAGCAGUAGGGAAUCUUCCGCAAUGGGCGAAAGCCUGACGGAGCAACGCCGCGUGAGUGAUGAAGGUCUUCGGAUCGUAAAACUCUGUUAUUAGGGAAGAACAUAUGUGUAAGUAACUGUGCACAUCUUGACGGUACCUAAUCAGAAAGCCACGGCUAACUACGUGCCAGCAGCCGCGGUAAUACGUAGGUGGCAAGCGUUAUCCGGAAUUAUUGGGCGUAAAGCGCGCGUAGGCGGUUUUUUAAGUCUGAUGUGAAAGCCCACGGCUCAACCGUGGAGGGUCAUUGGAAACUGGAAAACUUGAGUGCAGAAGAGGAAAGUGGAAUUCCAUGUGUAGCGGUGAAAUGCGCAGAGAUAUGGAGGAACACCAGUGGCGAAGGCGACUUUCUGGUCUGUAACUGACGCUGAUGUGCGAAAAAGCGUGGGGAUCAAACAGGAUUAGAUACCCUGGUAGUCCACGCCGUAAACGAUGAGUGCUAAGUGUUAGGGGGUUUCCGCCCCUUAGUGCUGCAGCUAACGCAUUAAGCACUCCGCCUGGGGAGUACGACCGCAAGGUUGAAACUCAAAGGAAUUGACGGGGACCCGCACAAGCGGUGGAGCAUGUGGUUUAAUUCGAAGCAACGCGAAGAACCUUACCAAAUCUUGACAUCCUUUGACAACUCUAGAGAUAGAGCCUUCCCCUUCGGGGGACAAAGUGACAGGUGGUGCAUGGUUGUCGUCAGCUCGUGUCGUGAGAUGUUGGGUUAAGUCCCGCAACGAGCGCAACCCUUAAGCUUAGUUGCCAUCAUUAAGUUGGGCACUCUAAGUUGACUGCCGGUGACAAACCGGAGGAAGGUGGGGAUGACGUCAAAUCAUCAUGCCCCUUAUGAUUUGGGCUACACACGUGCUACAAUGGACAAUACAAAGGGCAGCGAAACCGCGAGGUCAAGCAAAUCCCAUAAAGUUGUUCUCAGUUCGGAUUGUAGUCUGCAACUCGACUACAUGAAGCUGGAAUCGCUAGUAAUCGUAGAUCAGCAUGCUACGGUGAAUACGUUCCCGGGUCUUGUACACACCGCCCGUCACACCACGAGAGUUUGUAACACCCGAAGCCGGUGGAGUAACCUUUUAGGAGCUAGCCGUCGAAGGUGGGACAAAUGAUUGGGGUGAAGUCGUAACAAGGUAGCCGUAUCGGAAGGUGCGGCUGGAUCACCUCCUUU